GAUUUUUCAAAAUGAAUAAUUUUUUAAUAAGUUGUAAACUUUUUUGUGUCAACAAUGGAAGCUUCAAUUUAAUGCUUUCAAUUUUUAUUGGGAAAUAUCUUUAGAAUGGUCUCUCAGUUAAAUUUAAAGAUGUUGUUUAUCUUAGUUCAUCUUAAGUGAUUUUCUUGAAUAUAAGUGUUCUGGCUGGGUGAUAUGAAUUGUGUUGAGCCAAAGCUGGCUUCCUUUUAGGUGGGACAAGAAAAUGUGCAAGAAAAGGAAAGGAAUGCUUGGAUAAUGGUUGUCUCCUUUGGAAUCUGAUGAUGGUGCAAUUUUUCCCCCAGGCUAUAUUUUGGAGAAGUACAGUAGAUAAGGAAGGAGAGAAAAAGAUGAAAAGGUAAUUCUCUUCAGAGACUCUUCUAGAUUCUUGUGUGAGCUCUGUUGUUCUAUGGUGGGACAAUCAAACAUGCCACUGAGAAAGUUAUUCUCUUUACCUUUGCUCAGAACCAUGUGCUGUCAGUGGCAUCUGAGAAGAAUGUCUGUUAUCACUGGUUAGUAUACUUGGCAUGCAGGUUGCCAGGUUUGCUUAUGAACACACAUAAGGUAUCUGUUUUGGGCUGAAUUUUGUCUCUUAAAAAUUCAUACAGCCGGAUGCAUGCCUGUAAUCCCAGCGGCUUGAGAGGCUGAGGCAUGAAGAAUGCGAGUUCAAAGCCAGCUUCAGCAAUGGGAUGUGCUAAGCAACUCAGUGAGACCCUGUUUCUAAAUAAAAUACAAAAUAGGACUGGGGAUGUGGCUCAGUGGUCGAGUGCUUCUGAGUUCAAUCCUAGAUACCCCCACCAAAUAAAUUCAUAUGUUGAAGCCCUCUCCCAGCACCUCAAAAUGUUACUGUAUUUGAAUAUAUGGUCUUCCAAGAGGUAAUAAAGUUAAAAUGAGGUAAAUAGCGUGGGCGCUAAUCUAACAUGGCCAGCAUCAUCAUCAGAAGAAAUUAGGAUGAAGACACAAAGGGAAGACCAUGUAAAGGCAGAAGAAGAUGCCCAUUUAUGAGCCAAGGAGAGAGGCCUUAGAAGAAAUUAACCCUACUGCCACCUUGACCUUAUACUUUCAGCCUCCAGAAUUGUGAGAAAAUAAGUUUCAAUUGAAGCUGUCCAGUUUGUGGUAUUUUAUUGUGGCAGCUGUAGCAGACAAAUACAGCAUUCAUUUGGGGAUCCCCAGAAGUAAUUGUAGUGGAAAGCAUUUUGCCAAGGAGUUACCACUAGGAUAGUGAAGAUUCAAGCCAUUAUAAUAGUUAUAAGUUCAUGAGGCCUAGCCAUUUGAAUUAUAGUCAGAACCCUAUGAAUUCCCACAGCAUAGAAAUUCCAAUAGUAAUUAGAAGGUUGACUUCUAACUCCUUCUGUCUUUGCUCAUCUUAGGAAAAUCUAUUUUUAAAAUUAGGUUUAUUCCCUCAUUGUUAUACAAAAUUACAUAUAAGAGGUUGUGAGGGGAAUGGGAAAAUAAACAAGGAGAGAUAUGAAUUAGAGUGGAUGGGGUAGAGAGAGAAGAUG
Molecule: long non-coding RNA, 1517 nt
Filed under: Marmota monax (woodchuck)
Lineage: Eukaryota; Metazoa; Chordata; Mammalia; Rodentia; Sciuridae
Source: RNAcentral